Molecule: long non-coding RNA, 818 nt
Filed under: Ananas comosus (pineapple)
Lineage: Eukaryota; Viridiplantae; Streptophyta; Magnoliopsida; Poales; Bromeliaceae
Description: long non-coding RNA (ACOM_LNC027216)
Source: RNAcentral
CGUCACCUCCUUCGAAAAAUUCUAGAAUACAACGGGUAUAUUAGUGACGUGGCAUAACAAACCAAUCAAAUAUAUCCUUUUAAGGGUAUAUGUCCCAUUAUGAUUAUAAAAAAAUAUUUUUAUUGUAUUUUUAUUUGAAAAGAAAGAAUAUGAUUGGCUUAUUAUUGAUGACGUGGUGCAAGUGUGACAGUGUAGAAUUCCUCCACCUCCCUCUCCCCGCCACAAAUACCCAUCAAUAAUUUUUUACAACUGAAAAUAAAAAUUCUAUAAAAAGUGGUGAUAUAGCACUAAAAUUUUCGAUCAGAAAUAUUAAUCUUAUUGUAGAUAGUAUAAAGAAUUUUGUAUCAAAAUAUUAUCUGAUUUGAAUACUUCUACACCGUUAAACUUGAAAACGGCAGACAUCAACUAAUAAAAAUUAUUGAUUUUGAACCCUUUCGAUCGCUAGGUAAAUGAUAUCAAAAAAUCGCAAAAAAUUAUUUUUUAGAAACUUCAAAUACGCUAGAUCAAGUCUAACGGAGCCGAUCGUCGAUUCGAAAAUUUUAUCAUCGAAAACGGCUCAGGAGCACGAAGGCCUCCGUGCUCCUAAGAACACAGCAGUCUUGCUAUAUAUAUAUAUAUAUAUAUAUAGAGAGAGAGAGAGAGAGAGAGAGAGAGAGUUGAGCUGGAAUGCUAUCGGAAGUAUAGCGAAUCUAGUACUUCCAACUUUUUGGUCCUUAGAUCAAUCUCUUUGAUCAUUUCUAACAUUUGGAUUAAUACUAUUACCAUAUGGGGACCACUCAACUCUAAGAUACCGUUUGGUAUGGGUAUAAAGAGGGGAU